ACGGACUGGAGAUGAUUUGGAAUCAUCACAAUGACGUCAUAGAACCGGACGAUUCAGAACCAUCAUCUUGAGACACAAUAGUACCGGCCCAACUUUUACCAUCAGAAGAAGCUUCAAACUGAACCGGAAUCUUAACCCGCCCGAUCAAAUUAACCGAAUUAACCACCUUCGCUUGCCACGGUAUCUCGCUAGGUUUUGGCCACGUCACCGGUUCCUUCACAACGGCGUCGUUUAACGUUGAUGCUGUAGUAGUUUUCGACGGUGGUUUUAGUUCCGGAGCACUGGUUUUGGAGAACUUGAGGGUUUUUAUAGUGCUUUUGGUUUUACCGGUAGUGGAGAAUGAGUGUUGUUGUUGGAUGAUUGAUGGAGUGGUGAGUUUGAGGAGGCGGUUUCGCUCGGUGGUGAUUGCUCGGCGGAUGGUGUUCAUGACGGCGGCGAUGACGGUCGUUACGGCGGAGGAGAUUAGAACCAAACGGACAUUUUGGG
RNAcentral lists this long non-coding RNA (486 nucleotides) under Helianthus annuus (common sunflower). RNAcentral describes it as "sRNA HanXRQr2_Chr05g0201061". The record is from RNAcentral. Lineage: Eukaryota; Viridiplantae; Streptophyta; Magnoliopsida; Asterales; Asteraceae.